CGGCUUCAAAAUAAAUUUAAUGAUUUUAAAAACAUUAUUAAGAGAAUUUCUGAUGUUUUUAUGAACUAAUUCUGUAUUUAUUUAUUUAUUUUUUUAAUCACGUGACUCUUUCAAAGUCAACGAUUGGUCAACAACGAAGCGCGGAUUUUUCCGGGGACGAUUUGAAAAUUGGUGUGAUUGAAAUGCUGAGACCAAAAAUAGAGAUUUUGAAGUCGAAGUUCCUUUUUUACUGUGACUUAAAUGCAGAGCUAUGGGAAAAUACCUCAACAAUAUAACUGUAUCAUAUCACCAAACCCAAGGAAAAGUGCUUAGAACAUGUUGAAGGGUUAAACCACAUAGCAUAUUCAAAUGAAGAUCACAGAGAGAAAGAUUGGGUGAAUAGACUUAGGAGUGUAGGCGAUCUGUGAGUGUGAUCAAUCAGUGACAAAUCCAUGUACAGGACAAGCCUGUAGGAUGCAAUUUCAGUUUGGGGGGUUGGGAACACCCCUACCUGGAGAUUCCAACCAUGUAGUGACUAGACGCAAAAGGAUUAAAAACUGUUAUUCUAUAAAAUUAUAUAUAUAAUCUUGUUGAUGAUUUUAUAUUCCAAUUUAUUCUCUAAUUAUUUAUGGAAGAUUUAUAGAACUGAAAAUAAUGAUUUCAUGGACUGUCAAAAUUUCAUGCUUUUGAAUAACAAUUCUGUAAGUUAAAAAAGAGAUUUAAUUUUUUUGGUAUAUCAGAUCUGAAUGCAUUUU
Long non-coding RNA from Saccostrea cuccullata (small rock oyster), 734 nucleotides. RefSeq lists it as uncharacterized. NCBI's taxonomy places the organism in Eukaryota, Metazoa, Mollusca, Bivalvia, Ostreida, Ostreidae. The transcript is spliced from 3 exons. The record is from RefSeq and is a predicted model, not a curated record.